Molecule: unclassified non-coding RNA, 241 nt
Filed under: plant metagenome
Description: partial contains small subunit ribosomal RNA, internal transcribed spacer 1, and 5.8S ribosomal RNA
Source: RNAcentral
UUUCCGUAGGUGAACCUGCGGAAGGAUCAUUAAAGAGUAAGGGUCUUCGGGCCCGAUCUCCAACCCUUUGUUUAACUACCAUGUUGCUUUGGCGGGCCCGUCUCACGACCGCCGGAAGUUUGGCUUCGACCAAACUUCUGGCCCGUGCCCGUCAGUGGCCCCUUCAAAUUCUUGAUCAAGUAUGAUGUCUUAGUUAGAAACUUAAUAGUUAAAACUUUCAACAACGGAUCUCUUGGUUCUG